GGAAUCAGCCUGUUCUGGAUCAGGCUUCAGUAAUUUCAUAAUUGCUGAUCUCAUGGAAGGGACCGUGACUCGGCUAGAGAUGACUCCCUCUCUUAUGUCUGCAACAAGUUCUUCCCAGACUUGUUCGAAAGUUCUAAAAGCAUGGACAAUGCUGUGGGCAAAUGUAGAGGAGACAACUUGCACUUCGUCACGAAAAAUAAGCCCACACAAGAGAUGGCAGUACAAAGAUUGGUGGAAAUCAGGACCAAAUAUAACUUCAUCAGGGCUACAACAUGGGGUUUGCAUUGCCCUCAUUGUCUUCUUGAAAUGUGCGUUACGAUAUACAUUGGUAGUUGCAGUUCCAGCUGCCAAACCUCCCUUUGUCUUGAACUGCUUGCUGCUGUAAAUGAACUGCAAUGCCUUCCCAUUCUCAAUUGGGAAUUCUCUAUUCCUAAAAGCAAAAGAAGUUUUAUAUAUCUGCAUAGUGGAUUCCAUCAAUUCAUCAUUGAAAGGUACAAACUUUGGCCUUCCCUGAGUAGUACCUGAACUUAAUGAGAUUGUUGUAAUGGGUUUUCCAGUGAGAACAGGGGAAAGAUCCCCAUCAGCAAUUCUUUGAAUAUAAGGCUCUAAAUCUUUGUGAGUGACAAGAGGAACACAACUCUUGAAAAUCUCAGGAUCAGUUCUUCCAUUUAAACCCCAUUGCUGUAGAUACACAGUGCUUCCAUUUUCUUCUAGUAUCUUCUUAAGAGUUUCUUCUUGAACUUUCCCAGCUUCUUUGGUCAAAGCUUCAAAUUCCUCAAUCACUUCUUCUGGAUCAAAUUUCAUCUCUAUCUUCUCCAACAUCUUCCAAGAACUCAAAUUCGAACAAAAUAAGACU
RNAcentral lists this unclassified non-coding RNA (856 nucleotides) under Hevea brasiliensis (rubber tree). Lineage: Eukaryota; Viridiplantae; Streptophyta; Magnoliopsida; Malpighiales; Euphorbiaceae. The record is from RNAcentral.